Sitodiplosis mosellana (orange wheat blossom midge) is the source of this 941-nucleotide long non-coding RNA. RefSeq lists it as uncharacterized. The transcript is spliced from 3 exons. Lineage: Eukaryota; Metazoa; Arthropoda; Insecta; Diptera; Cecidomyiidae. The record is from RefSeq and is a predicted model, not a curated record.
AAAAAUUGGCAGGAACUGACUUAAUAAUUUUCGAUGAUUUAAAUCAAUAUUUCUUUCGUGCUAUUGAUUUAAUUUUUCAAUGUCACCAUUACAUGAAAUUUGGCCAGAAUCAGGACAUCUUCGAUCAAAGUCACUUUGUCACAUGGAUAAUAAAUGGACACAUCCACCUCACAUGAAUCUUGGCCCUAAUUAAAGAGUCGACUAUGCUGUGUAUGAAUCAACCGUAUCACCGUCUAUUAGACAUGCACAACUUCAGCUAUAGGUUGUAAACUGUAAACUGUUAAGAAUGUCGAUAAGGGUGAUAUAUUAGCUGGGUAUAUAACUAAUAAUAUUCAUUGCAAUACAGGAAUAAACGCAAAUAACAUAUAUUUUUAUUGCAUUCAUUUUUUGUUAUUUGAUAAUUGUUGAUAGUUUUGAAAUUGUUUUUCAUGCAUUUGAUGUAAUUGAUCGGGCACGUCUUGAUGAAGCUGCUGCAUUCUUAUUGUUACACUCUCGCAUGGAUUUGUAAAGUGAAAAUAGAACGAACCAUAAGUACAAUAUGAGAGCUGAAAUGCAAGAAAAUAAUUCAAUACAGUUUCGAAGUUAUUAUAUGAAUUUAUUAGCUUGUAAAGACCUGCACAGACAUAGUUGAUGGCCAUAGCAAAAGAUAAGAUAGUGAUUCCGUCAAACGUUUUUUCAUCAACCAUUUCCGAAAUGUAUUCCAUAAUAUCGGCAAAAUAGAAAAUCAAUGUGACGAUUGGAAAAAUGAUAAACAAAACCGACGUUGUUAACAGCAUAAUCAGUGACGGUAUCAUACAGCCUGGAUCGUUCUAUGGAAUUGAGUAGAAAAUACAAAACGAAAUAGCUGAAAAUCGGAAGCACCACUAGAAGUGAGAAAAAUGAAUGAAUUGGAAUUUGUGUUCUGGAGCAAAACCAUUUACCUCUGAAAAUUGAUCCGUCUG